AGCGAACGCUGGCGGCAGGCCUAACACAUGCAAGUCGAACGAACCCUUCGGGGUUAGUGGCGGACGGGUGAGGAACACGUGGGAAGGUUCAUGUAGGUUCGGAAUAACUCAGGGAAACGUGUGCUAAUACCGAAUGAGUCCUUCUGGGGCAGGAUUUAUCGCCUUUAGAGCGGCCCGCGUCUGAGUAGCCAGUUGGUUGAGGAAAUGGCUCACCAAGGUGACGAAGAUUAGCUGGUCUGGGAGGACGAACAGACACAUUGGGACUGAGACACGGCCGAAACUCCUGCGGAAGGCAGCAAUGGGGAAUCUUGCGCAAUGGGCGAGAGCCUGACGCAGCCAUGCCGCGUAAAUGAUGUAGUUGUUAAGAUUGUAAAAUUCUUUCACCGGGGACGAUAAUGACGGUACCCGGAGAAGAAGCCCCGGCUAACUUCGUG
Molecule: ribosomal RNA, 434 nt
Filed under: uncultured bacterium
Lineage: Bacteria
Description: partial 16S ribosomal RNA
Rfam family: Bacterial small subunit ribosomal RNA
Source: RNAcentral